RNAcentral lists this ribosomal RNA (674 nucleotides) under Arcanobacterium phocae. RNAcentral's name for it is "bacterial SSU rRNA". It matches the Rfam family "Bacterial small subunit ribosomal RNA", at positions 134 to 818 of the family's 1533-position model. Lineage: Bacteria; Bacillati; Actinomycetota; Actinomycetes; Actinomycetales; Actinomycetaceae. The record is from RNAcentral.
UUCUUUGGGAUAAGCCUUGGAAACGGGGUCUAAUACUGGAUAUUCUGCUUCUGCCGCAUGGUGGGGGUUGGAAAGGGUUUUCUGGUGGGGGAUGGGCUCACGGCCUAUCAGCUUGUUGGUGGGGUGAUGGCCUACCAAGGCUUCGACGGGUAGCCGGCCUGAGAGGGUGACCGGCCACAUUGGGACUGAGAUACGGCCCAGACUCCUACGGGAGGCAGCAGUGGGGAAUAUUGCACAAUGGACGCAAGUCUGAUGCAGCGACGCCGCGUGGGGGAUGAAGGCUUUCGGGUUGUAAACUCCUUUUAACACUGAACAAGGCGAAAGUUGAGGGUAGGUGUUGAAUAAGCGCCGGCUAACUACGUGCCAGCAGCCGCGGUAAUACGUAGGGCGCGAGCGUUGUCCGGAAUUAUUGGGCGUAAAGAGCUCGUAGGCGGUUUGUCGCGUCUGCUGUGAAAGACCGGGGCUUAACUCCGGGGCUGCAGUGGGUACGGGCAGACUAGAGUGCGGUAGGGGUAACUGGAAUUCCUGGUGUAGCGGUGGAAUGCGCAGAUAUCAGGAGGAACACCGAUGGCGAAGGCAGGUUACUGGGCCGUUACUGACGCUGAGGAGCGAAAGCAUGGGGAGCGAACAGGAUUAGAUACCCUGGUAGUCCAUGCCGUAAACGUUGGGCACUA